CCAGGAAGCGCCUGCGCGGAGCAGUGGGAAGGUCACGGCCCGGCCGGGCCCUAGCUGUGCUCCGGCCCACGCCAAACUGGAGGACCCUGCUUAAUCCAAGAUCGCCAAUGAGGAGUCAGUAGAGUCCUGAGAGUCAGUUCUAACGCUUCAAGAGGAUUUUAACUCUCUUUCCCCUCUCAGUCCCCAGGAACUCAUGCUCCGCUCGACGUUGGCUUCCGCGGAACAUGAACCUACAAGCUUGAAGCCGCCCCUUCUCCCCACCGCCAGCCCUCACCAGUGUAGUGUGCCUGUCCUCAGUUGAAAGAUGAGCCAAGUGAGAAUGUUGGAUGAAGGAACCAAAUUGAUAUUCAUCAUCCUAUUGAAAACAACUCAGAUCCACAGGUCUUCUGAUGGCAGUCUGUGGCUGAACCAUGUGAAUGAAAGUUGGGCAGGUUCAAGGAAAAGGCAGGAAGUGGGCUUUCUUUGUCACAAGGAAAAGCCAGGAGAGUCAAUGAGUCGACAGCAUGAUUUCAGCACUGCCUUUGUUCAAAGACAUAGACUGCAACUCAGUAGGAAUAUAGAACUACCAUGGGCCACACAUGUGCAAGACUUUCCUGCCAGUCAGGGGACCAGAGAAAUGCUGGUCUCGCAGAGCCAGCUAGCGUGUCUCUACAUGAAGAUGGCAGCGGACACCUUUUUGAGAACAAGGAAAUCCCAGCGGAAGGAAGGAUCUAUCAGUUGCUCCUGUUUCAUGCCAAGAAUUCUAAUUUAUGUGGUUGGGGUUAUAAUAACCCCCAUUUCACAGUGAUGAAGAGGGUAAGACAUUAUUCCACGGCCACAUGCAGCUGGAGGAGAGAAGGUAUAUGGAAAUAUUCCUUAUGAGUGACACAAAGUGCUAUAUGAAUUCUGAGAAAAAUAAAAUUUUCAAAAGACUUGAUCA
Molecule: long non-coding RNA, 919 nt
Filed under: Sus scrofa (pig)
Lineage: Eukaryota; Metazoa; Chordata; Mammalia; Artiodactyla; Suidae
Description: lncRNA (ENSSSCG00050002876.1)
Source: RNAcentral